RNAcentral lists this ribosomal RNA (511 nucleotides) under uncultured methanogenic archaeon. Its description in RNAcentral is "bacterial SSU rRNA". It matches the Rfam family "Archaeal small subunit ribosomal RNA", at positions 821 to 1332 of the family's 1478-position model. The record is from RNAcentral. Lineage: Archaea; Methanobacteriati; Methanobacteriota.
CUGCUACUUGGGGAGUACGUCCGCAAGGAUGAAACUUAAAGGAAUUGGCGGGGGAGCACCGCAACGGGAGGAACGUGCGGUUUAAUUGGAUUCAACACCGGGAAAACUCACCAGCAGCGACUAUUACAUGAAAGUCAGGCCGAUGACCUUACUAGAUUUUUAGAGAGGUGGUGCAUGGCCGUCGUCAGUUCGUACCGUAAGGCGUUCUCUUAAGUGAGAUAACGAACGAGACCCUCACCAAUAAUUGCUACUGCGUCGUCCGCGGCGUAGGCACAUUAUUGGGACCGCUGGCGCUGGGUCAGAGGAAGGAGAGGUCAACGGUAGGUCAGUAUGCCCCGAAUCUGCUGGGCUACACGCGCGUUACAAAGGGCGGGACAAUGGGCUCCGACACCGAAAGGUGAAGGUAAUCUCGAAACCCGUCCGUAGUUCGGAUUGAGGGUUGUAACUCACCCUCAUGAAGCUGGAUUCCGUAGUAAUCGCGAAUCAACAACUCGCGGUGAAUAUGCCCCUG